RNAcentral lists this ribosomal RNA (792 nucleotides) under Triticum aestivum (bread wheat). RNAcentral describes it as "partial small subunit ribosomal RNA". Lineage: Eukaryota; Viridiplantae; Streptophyta; Magnoliopsida; Poales; Poaceae. The record is from RNAcentral.
AUGGAUCUCCGAGUUAGUAUAACCCAAAUUGAGCUGGAGUGCAUGCUAGUUGAUGAUGACGCAGAGCCCAAGGCCUUGCCAUUCCCACUAUUGGAGAAAAUAACAGAUGGUUUUUCUGAUAAGCUGGAAAUUGGAAGAGGUGGCUUUGCGGUGGUUUAUAAGGCAAUGCUUGAUAAUGGCAUUAUCGCUGUAAAGAGGAUGUCCAAUACGUACAUGUAUGAGAAAGAAUUCCACCGAGAGGUGGAAUGUCUAAUGAAGGUGAAGCACAAAAACCUUGUGCGAUUUCUCGGAUAUUGUGCUGACACCCAAGGGAAUAUGGGAAGCUACAACGGGAAAAUGGUUAUGGCAGAUGUGCAACAAAGAUUGCUCUGCUUUGAGUAUCUACCUAAAGGAAGUCUUGAUGAUUAUAUUACAGACUCUUUUGGAGAAUUUGAAUGGAGAAAGUGCUACCAAGUAAUAAAAGGGAUAUGCGAAGGGCUAAAUUAUCUUCACCAAAACAAUAUCAUGCACUUAGACCUAAAACCCGGAAAUAUAUUAUUGGAUGAAGAUGUGAUGCCGAAAAUUACUGAUUUUGGACUAUCAAGGUGUUUUGAGGAAGGCCAGACACGAGUCAUUACUGAAAAUGUGGGCGGAACGAUAGGAUAUUUGGCACCAGAAUUCCAUACUGGUGAAAUCACACACAAAUUUGACUUGUACAGUCUUGGUGUUAUAGUUAUGGAGAUGUUGACCGGAAAGAAGGGGUAUCAAAGUAUUGAAGAUGUAUUGAAGAUUAUUUUAACCUCUAGUCUCUAA